This is a non-coding RNA of Lonchura striata (white-rumped munia), 936 nucleotides long. Lineage: Eukaryota; Metazoa; Chordata; Aves; Passeriformes; Estrildidae. The record is from RefSeq and is a predicted model, not a curated record.
CAUGGAAUUGUGGGAGAGCAAACCUCCCAAACUGAUCCCUGCUCUGCACAGCAAGUGCGUUCCAGAAAGAUCCGUGCUCCAAAAGGGACAGGGCAGGAAGUUCAGCUCGCUGGGGAAAAUCAGGACCGGGUCAGGAGCUCAUCCCGACUUCACAGAUGGAUCCCCGGGAUCUGCUGCACGGCCCGGGAAAGGCGGGGCUGGAACCGAGAUCCACAGACAAGGGACCUUUAUCAGCUUUCGACUUCAUCUCCGCCCCAGAAAAGCUGCACCCGGCCCAGUCCUGCCAGAGGAAGCUUCCAGAAGGUCUUCAUCUGGGGACUUGGAGCUUCCAGUGGCUGCACUCUCAUCCCAGCUGGAACUUUGUCCCCAGGCCUGCUUAUCUCCAGCCUGACAUUCUUUGGCUGCAGCUUCCCCCGUGGAUGUCAGCGCCCUCCUGCCUGCAGGACUGAGGGAUCCACUCCAAUCUCUCCUCUGGCAGAGGAGGAUCCCUCAUUCCCAGAGACCCCGAGGCAGGAGCGCUGAGUUUCCUGGGAAGCCGUGUGUUCCUAAGGAUCUGUCCCGGCCUGGAAUCCCCCAUGGAUUUAGGAAGCACCCAGGCGCCGGGAAUUGAAUCCAGCGCCGGGAGCGAGGCGGCUGAGAGGAGCAGCUGAGGGGACAUCAGCAUCUUCCUCAGGAGCUGGGAUGUGCCUGAGCUUUCCGGUCUCCACGAGGUGCUGGAGCAGGAUCUGCAAAGGGACAAACAGCCUGGGAGAGGACACCGGUCUCCAUGGACAAGCGGAGUCACUCAGUGCGGGGAGCAGAGCUCGGGAAGGGAAAAGGUUUUCCCUUGUGCCGGGAGGAAACGGGAAUGGCACCAAAUGGCAUCGCUCUUCUCCCUCUUCCCACUGCCAUUGAGAUCUAAUAAAGUGAGAAACGCCUCCAGCUGCCCUCCCUUCC